AGUUUCCGGGGAUGUUCGAUAUCCUGUAUAUUUUGAACCUACAUUUCAAAUAUGGGAGUCCUACAAGAAAAAAACCUAUGUCGGGCCGCAACUUAAUUCCCUUUGGGCAGCGGAUGGCAGAAUUUUAUCUGCGGACACCCACCUAGCUUAGGCUAGGUGUCAAAAUGCAGGGACGGCAUCCUGGGAUUAAU
Molecule: non-coding RNA, 191 nt
Filed under: Clostridiales bacterium
Lineage: Bacteria; Bacillati; Bacillota; Clostridia; Eubacteriales
Description: 6S RNA
Rfam family: 6S / SsrS RNA
About the family: E. coli 6S RNA was the first non coding RNA to be sequenced, but its function was unknown until recently. It consists of 184 nucleotides that fold into an extended hairpin structure with a large single-stranded internal bulge.
Source: RNAcentral